Molecule: ribosomal RNA, 480 nt
Filed under: Triticum aestivum (bread wheat)
Lineage: Eukaryota; Viridiplantae; Streptophyta; Magnoliopsida; Poales; Poaceae
Description: partial small subunit ribosomal RNA
Source: RNAcentral
AUGAAUGGAUUUGUGCUCAGUUUUAAUGUAUCUGUCCAAAGCACAAGAGGUGGUCUUGGGUUCUGUGAUAUGCACAGUUUUAAUAUAGCAAUGUUGUUAAGGCAGAUUUGGAAGCUAAUUCAAAACCCAGAUACAUUGUGUGCAAGGAUUCUUAAGGUGUGGUAUUAUCCCAAUGGGCAUGUGCUAGAUGCACAACCAAAGGAAGGAAUCUCUUAUUCAUGGAGUAGUUUGCUUCACGGGCAGAAGUUGAUUCACGAAGGAUACAUGUGGAGAAUCGGAGAUGGAACGAAUGUGAAAAUUUGGACUGAUCCAUGGCUUCCGUGCCCCUGGUCUCGUCAAGUUAUUAUGCCAAGGGGAGAAAACCUUCUCGAGUGGGUCAGUGAUCUUAUUGAUCCUGCUACUGUUGAUUGGGAUGUGAGGUUGGUGGAAGAGACCUUCUGGACUGACGAUGCUACACACAUUCUCCAAAUACCAUUGUGA